This 57-nucleotide transfer RNA is filed under the name Triodontophorus serratus. RNAcentral describes it as "tRNA-Trp". The record is from RNAcentral. Lineage: Eukaryota; Metazoa; Nematoda; Chromadorea; Rhabditida; Strongylidae.
AUAGAUUUAAGUUAAGUUAAACUAUUAAUUUUCAAAAUUAAAAAUAUUUAAUCUAUA